This 1303-nucleotide small RNA is filed under the name Pongo abelii (Sumatran orangutan). RNAcentral describes it as "retained intron". Lineage: Eukaryota; Metazoa; Chordata; Mammalia; Primates; Hominidae. The record is from RNAcentral.
CUUGUUGCAAGAUGGCCGCGCCCAGUGGUGGAUUCAAGCCUCGUGAACGAAGCGGUGGGGAGCAGGCACAGGACUGGGAUGCUGUGCCACCCAAGCGGCCCCGACUAGGGGCAGGAAACAAGAUCGGAGGCCGUAGGCUUAUUGUGGUGCUGGAAGGGGCCAGUCUGGAGACAGUCAAGGUAGGGAAGACAUAUGAGCUACUCAACUGUGACAAGCACAAGUCUAUAUUGUUGAAGAAUGGACGGGACCCUGGGGAAGUGCGGCCAGACAUCACCCACCAGAGUUUGCUGAUGCUGAUGGAUAGUCCCCUGAACCGAGCUGGCUUGCUACAGGUUUAUAUCCAUACCCAGAAGAAUGUUCUGAUUGAAGUGAAUCCCCAGACCCGAAUUCCCAGAACCUUUGACCGCUUUUGUGGCCUCAUGGGUAAGAAGUCUUAGAACAAAGUUAGAAUGAACUUGUCAGUAGGGAAAAAGGGAGGAAGAGGAAAAGGGAGAACUAAAUGUGGGAUUUUUAAGCGAGGAAAUGGGAGAACAACAUGAUUAAUACCAGGACAAGGACGGUUAUUAUUUUUCUGUGUUUGUGGAAACUCCACUCCUGUUCUUGCAGUAGCUUCCUGGCUGAGUGAAAGAGUGAGUCUGAACCCAUCACUGUACAGCUAGCCAUAUGCUUGGCAACUGUUUGUUCCUAACAUUUCAGGAGUCCAGUCUAGAUAUAAAGCACACAGGGAACUCAUCUUACCUAUGGGGUUUUCCUUGUUAGAUGACUGGACAGAAGGGCUGUGGUCUCCAUCUAGCUCUGAACUCCUUUUCCCCCUUUUAGUUCAACUUUUACACAAGCUCAGUGUUCGAGCAGCUGAUGGCCCCCAGAAGCUUUUGAAGGUGAGGUAUUGAAACCUAUUAGUUGAAGUUUGGUUCUGGGAAUGUUUCUGGGGCUGACUUUUCUCUUUUUUACUUUAGGUAAUUAAGAAUCCAGUAUCAGAUCACUUUCCAGUUGGAUGUAUGAAAGUUGGCACUUCUUUUUCCAUCCCGGUUGUCAGUGAUGUGCGUGAGCUGGUGCCCAGCAGUGAUCCUAUUGUUUUUGUGGUAGGGGCCUUUGCCCAUGGCAAGGUAAGGUCUGGGCUCAACCCUGAAAUUCUUGGUAGAGCUGAACUUAGUAUAGAAUUCCCAGAGCAGUAGGCAUUUUAACAAUGCUUACAAUGAGCUAGAAGACACAUGACAGUUCCACACCCUGCCCCAGGGCACAUCCUUUGAGGACUGCUGCCAUAAUUGUAAUAGUCACAGUUAGGACCUUCUUCAUCGUUUGU